This 28-nucleotide non-coding RNA is filed under the name Bombyx mori (domestic silkworm). The record is from RNAcentral. Lineage: Eukaryota; Metazoa; Arthropoda; Insecta; Lepidoptera; Bombycidae.
UCAUGAAUCGUUGAAAGGUUUGGGCUGC